CCUACGGGAGGCUGCAGUGGGGAAUAUUGGACAAUGGGCGAAAGCCUGAUCCAGCCAUGCCGCGUGUGUGAAGAAGGCCUUCGGGUUGUAAAGCACUUUCAGUGGGGAAGAAAGCCUUGGGGCUAAUACCCUCGAGGAAGGACAUCACCCACAGAAGAAGCACCGGCUAACUCCGUGCCAGCAGCCGCGGUAAUACGGAGGGUACGAGCGUUAAUCGGAAUUACUGGGCGUAAAGCGCGCGUAGGCGGUCUGAUAAGCCGGUUGUGAAAGCCCCGGGCUCAACCUGGGAACGGCAUCCGGAACUGUCAGGCUAGAGUGCAGGAGAGGAAGGUAGAAUUCCCGGUGUAGCGGUGAAAUGCGUAGAGAUCGGGAGGAAUACCAGUGGCGAAGGCGGCCUUCUGGACUGACACUGACGCUGAGGUGCGAAAGCGUGGGUAGCAAACAGGAUUAGAUACCCUAGUAGUC
Molecule: ribosomal RNA, 465 nt
Filed under: Vreelandella stevensii
Lineage: Bacteria; Pseudomonadati; Pseudomonadota; Gammaproteobacteria; Oceanospirillales; Halomonadaceae
Description: partial 16S ribosomal RNA
Rfam family: Bacterial small subunit ribosomal RNA
Source: RNAcentral